ACGAACGCUGGCGGCGUGCUUAACACAUGCAAGUCGAACGGAAAGGCCCUGCUUUUGUGGGGUGCUCGAGUGGCGAACGGGUGAGUAACACGUGAGUAACCUGCCCUUGACUUUGGGAUAACUUCAGGAAACUGGGGCUAAUACCGGAUAGGAGCUCCUGCUGCAUGGUGGGGGUUGGAAAGUUUCGGCGGUUGGGGACGGACUCGCGGCUUAUCAGCUUGUUGGUGGGGUAGUGGCUUACCAAGGCUUUGACGGGUAGCCGGCCUGAGAGGGUGACCGGCCACAUUGGGACUGAGAUACGGCCCAGACUCCUACGGGAGGCAGCAGUGGGGAAUAUUGCACAAUGGGCGGAAGCCUGAUGCAGCAACGCCGCGUGCGGGAUGACGGCCUUCGGGUUGUAAACCGCUUUCGCCUGUGACGAAGCGUGAGUGACGGUAAUGGGUAAAGAAGCACCGGCUAACUACGUG
RNAcentral lists this ribosomal RNA (467 nucleotides) under uncultured bacterium. RNAcentral describes it as "partial 16S ribosomal RNA". It matches the Rfam family "Bacterial small subunit ribosomal RNA", at positions 29 to 507 of the family's 1533-position model. The record is from RNAcentral.